GGCCAGGUAGUUUAGAAAAAACAAUUGAUUGUUAAUCGAUAGUGAAAGGUUGUCCUUUUCUGGCUA
This 66-nucleotide transfer RNA is filed under the name Modiolus modiolus (northern horsemussel). RNAcentral describes it as "tRNA-Asn". It matches the Rfam family "tRNA". From Rfam's summary of the family: Transfer RNA (tRNA) molecules are approximately 80 nucleotides in length. Lineage: Eukaryota; Metazoa; Mollusca; Bivalvia; Mytilida; Modiolidae. The record is from RNAcentral.